AUACGGAGGGGGUUAGCGUUGUUCGGAAUUACUGGGCGUAAAGCGUGCGUAGGCGGACUAUUAAGUCAGAGGUGAAAUCCCGGGGCUCAACCCCGGAACUGCCUUUGAUACUGGUAGUCUUGAGGUCGAGAGAGGUGAGUGGAAUUCCUAGUGUAGAGGUGAAAUUCGUAGAUAUUAGGAGGAACACCAGUGGCGAAGGCGGCUCACUGGCUCGAUUCUGACGCUGCGGUACGAAAGUGUGGGGAGCAAACGGGAUUAGAUACCCUAGUAGUCC
Molecule: ribosomal RNA, 274 nt
Filed under: uncultured bacterium
Lineage: Bacteria
Description: partial 16S ribosomal RNA
Rfam family: Bacterial small subunit ribosomal RNA
Source: RNAcentral